Molecule: ribosomal RNA, 501 nt
Filed under: uncultured bacterium
Lineage: Bacteria
Description: partial 16S ribosomal RNA
Rfam family: Bacterial small subunit ribosomal RNA
Source: RNAcentral
AUUGAACGCUGGCGGCAGGCUUAACACAUGCAAGUCGAGCGGGGUGAGGUAGCUUGCUACUGAUCUUAGCGGCGGACGGGUGAGUAAUGCUUAGGAAUCUGCCUAUUAGUGGGGGACAACAUUUCGAAAGGAAUGCUAAUACCGCAUACGUCCUACGGGAGAAAGCAGGGGAUCUUCGGACCUUGCGCUAGUAGAUGAGCCUAAGUCGGAUUAGCUAGUUGGUGGGGUAAAGGCCUACCAAGGCGACGAUCUGUAGCGGGUCUGAGAGGAUGAUCCGCCACACUGGGACUGAGACACGGCCCAGACUCCUACGGGAGGCAGCAGUGGGGAAUAUUGGACAAUGGGGGGAACCCUGAUCUAGCCAUGCCGCGUGUGUGAAGAAGGCCUUAUGGUUGUAAAGCACUUUAAGCGAGGAGGAGGCUCUUUUGGUUAAUACCCAAGAUGAGUGGACGUUACUCGCAGAAUAAGCACCGGCUAACUCUGUGCCAGCCGCCGCCGUAA